This 127-nucleotide ribosomal RNA is filed under the name uncultured bacterium. RNAcentral's name for it is "partial 16S ribosomal RNA". The record is from RNAcentral.
ACGUCACAGUAUGCAGUUAUUAACUACACACCUUUCCUCACGACUGAAAGUGCUUUACAACCCUAAGGCCUUCUUCACACACGCGGCAUGGCUGCAUCAGGCUUGCGCCCAUUGUGCAAUAUUCCCC